This 69-nucleotide transfer RNA is filed under the name Dipodomys ordii (Ord's kangaroo rat). It matches the Rfam family "tRNA". Rfam says of the family: Transfer RNA (tRNA) molecules are approximately 80 nucleotides in length. Their secondary structure includes four short double-helical elements and three loops (D, anti-codon, and T loops). Further hydrogen bonds mediate the characteristic L-shaped molecular structure. tRNAs have two regions of fundamental functional importance: the anti-codon, which is responsible for specific mRNA codon recognition, and the 3' end, to which the tRNAs corresponding amino acid is attached (by aminoacyl-tRNA synthetases). tRNAs cope with the degeneracy of the genetic code in two manners: having more than one tRNA (with a specific anti-codon) for a particular amino acid; and 'wobble' base-pairing, i.e. permitting non-standard base-pairing at the 3rd anti-codon position. Lineage: Eukaryota; Metazoa; Chordata; Mammalia; Rodentia; Heteromyidae. The record is from Rfam by way of RNAcentral.
GGGGAUGUGGCUUAGUGGUAGAGUGCUUGCCUAGCAUGCAUGACACCUGGGUUCAAUUCCUCAGUACCA